Molecule: ribosomal RNA, 447 nt
Filed under: uncultured bacterium
Lineage: Bacteria
Description: SSU rRNA
Rfam family: Bacterial small subunit ribosomal RNA
Source: RNAcentral
AGGAUGAACGCUGGCGGCGUGCCUAAGACAUGCAAGUCGAGUGGGUUUAGACCCACGGCGAACGGGUGAGUAAUACCUAGGAACUUUCUUUAAGUGGAGCAUAACCAGCCGAAAGGUUGGAUAAUUCUUCAUGUGGCAGUAAUGCUAAAGUCGCAAGACGCUUAAAGUGAGGCCUGGGCACCAUCAGCUAGUUGGUAAGGUAAUGGCUUACCAAGGCUAUGACGGUUAGGGGUCCCGAGAGGGAUAACCCCCACACUGGAACUGCGACACGGUCCAGACUCCUACGGGAGGCAGCAGUUUGGAAUUUUGGACAAUGGGCGAAAGCCUGAUCCAGCGACGCCGCGUGGACGAUGAAGGCCUUCGGGUCGUAAAGUCCUUUUGCUCGGGAACAAUAUUUUGAGCGUACCGAGAGAAUAAGAGGUUGCUAACUCUGUGCCCAGCAGCCGC